This 422-nucleotide ribosomal RNA is filed under the name uncultured bacterium. Its description in RNAcentral is "bacterial SSU rRNA". It matches the Rfam family "Bacterial small subunit ribosomal RNA", at positions 355 to 774 of the family's 1533-position model. The record is from RNAcentral.
UAAGGAAUAUUGGACAAUGGUCGCAAGACUGAUCCAGCCAUGCCGCGUGCAGGAAGACGGCCCUAUGGGUUGUAAACCGCUUUUGUACCAGAGAAAACCUAUCUACGUGUAGAUAGCUGAUAGUAUGGUAAGAAUAAGCAUCGGCUAACUUCGUGCCAGCAGCCGCGGUAAGACGAAGGAUGCAAGCGUUAUCCGGAUUCAUUGGGUUUAAAGGGUGCGUAGGCGGGCUUGUAAGUCAGUGGUGAAAUCUCUCAGCUUAACUGAGAAACUGCCAUUGAUACUGCAGGCCUAGAGUAUAGAUGACNUUGGCGGAAUAUGACAUGUAGUGGUGAAAUACUUAGAUAUGUCAUAGAACACCGAUUGCGAAGGCAGCUAACGAAACUAUAACUGACGCUGAGGCACGAAAGUGCGGGGAUCAAACA